Molecule: ribosomal RNA, 214 nt
Filed under: uncultured bacterium
Lineage: Bacteria
Description: partial 16S ribosomal RNA
Rfam family: Bacterial small subunit ribosomal RNA
Source: RNAcentral
CACGUAGGGCGCGAGCGUUGUCCGGAAUUAUUGGGCGUAAAGAGCUCGUAGGCGGCCUGUUGCGUCCGCUGUUGAAAGCCCGGGGCUUAACCCCGGGUCGGCAGUGGAUACGGGCAGGCUAGAGGUAGGUAGGGGAGAAUGGAAUUCCCGGUGUAGCGGUGAAAUGCGCAGAUAUCGGGAGGAACACCAGUGGCGAAGGCGGCUCACGUGGCCC